This 69-nucleotide transfer RNA is filed under the name Pseudodesulfovibrio sp. JC047. RNAcentral's name for it is "tRNA-Val". Lineage: Bacteria; Pseudomonadati; Thermodesulfobacteriota; Desulfovibrionia; Desulfovibrionales; Desulfovibrionaceae. The record is from RNAcentral.
GUGUGAUUAAGGGGCUUUAGCACCUUCACACGGUGGAAGUCACAGGUUCAAAUCCCGUAUCGCCCACCA